UACAGAGGGGGCAAGCGUUAUUCGGAAUUAUUGGGCGUAAAGGGCGCGUAGGCGGCUUGACAAGUGGCGGGUGAAAUCCCUCGGCUUAACCGAGGAACUGCCUGCCAGACUGUCUUGCUUGAGACCGUGAGAGGUGAGUGGAAUUCCCAGUGUAGCGGUGAAAUGCGUAGAUAUUGGGAGGAACACCAGUGGCGAAGGCGGCUCACUGGACCGGAACUGACGCUGAGGCGCGAAAGCUAGGGGAGCAAACAGG
RNAcentral lists this ribosomal RNA (253 nucleotides) under uncultured bacterium. RNAcentral describes it as "partial 16S ribosomal RNA". It matches the Rfam family "Bacterial small subunit ribosomal RNA", at positions 524 to 776 of the family's 1533-position model. The record is from RNAcentral.